This 492-nucleotide ribosomal RNA is filed under the name uncultured bacterium. Its description in RNAcentral is "partial 16S ribosomal RNA". It matches the Rfam family "Bacterial small subunit ribosomal RNA", at positions 29 to 507 of the family's 1533-position model. The record is from RNAcentral.
AGUGAACGCUGGCGGUAGGCCUAACACAUGCAAGUCGAACGGCAGCACAGUAAGAGCUUGCUCUUACGGGUGGCGAGUGGCGGACGGGUGAGGAAUACAUCGGAAUCUACUUUUUCGUGGGGGAUAACGUAGGGAAACUUACGCUAAUACCGCAUACGACCUACGGGUGAAAGCAGGGGAUCUUCGGACCUUGCGCGAUUGAAUGAGCUGAUGUCGGAUUAGCUAGUUGGCGGGGUAAAGGCCCACCAAGGCGACGAACCGUAGCUGGUCUGAGAGGAUGAUCAGCCACACUGGAACUGAGACACGGUCCAGACUCCUACGGGAGGCAGCAGUGGGGAAUAUUGGACAAUGGGCGCAAGCCUGAUCCAGCCAUACCGCGUGGGUGAAGAAGGCCUUCGGGUUGUAAAGCCCUUUUGUUGGGAAAGAAAAGCAGCAGGUUAAUACCCCGCUGUUCUGACGGUACCCAAAGAAUAAGCACCGGCUAACUUCGUG